GAUGAACGCUAGCUACAGGCUUAACACAUGCAAGUCGAGGGGCAGCACUAGGUAGCAAUACUGAGGUGGCGACCGGCGCACGGGCGCGUAACGCGUAUCCAACCUUCCCGUUACUCAGGGAUAGCCUUCCGAAAGGGAGAUUAAUACCUGAUGGUGUUUGAAUUCCGCAUGUUAUUCAAACUAAAGAUUUAUCGGUAACGGAUGGGGAUGCGUGACAUUAGGUAGAUGGCGGGGUAACGGCCCACCAUGCCUACGAUGUCUAGGGGUUCUGAGAGGAAGGUCCCCCCACACUGGAACUGAGACACGGUCCAGACUCCUACGGGAGGCAGCAGUGAGGAAUAUUGGUCAAUGGUCGGAAGACUGAACCAGCCAAGUAGCGUGAAGGAUGAAGGUUCUAUGGAUUGUAAACUUCUUUGUUUGGGAAUAAAAGACGCUACGUGUAGCGUUCUGCAUGUACCUUACGAAUAAGCAUCGGCUAAUUCCGUG
Molecule: ribosomal RNA, 486 nt
Filed under: uncultured bacterium
Lineage: Bacteria
Description: bacterial SSU rRNA
Rfam family: Bacterial small subunit ribosomal RNA
Source: RNAcentral